Molecule: ribosomal RNA, 629 nt
Filed under: uncultured bacterium
Lineage: Bacteria
Description: bacterial SSU rRNA
Rfam family: Bacterial small subunit ribosomal RNA
Source: RNAcentral
AUUGAACGCUGGCGGCAGGCCUAACACAUGCAAGUCGAACGGUAGCACAAAGGAGCUUGCUCCUUGGGUGACGAGUGGCGGACGGGUGAGUAAUGUCUGGGAAACUGCCCGAUGGAGGGGGAUAACUACUGGAAACGGUAGCUAAUACCGCAUAACGUCGCAAGACCAAAGAGGGGGACCUUCGGGCCUCUUGCCAUCGGAUGUACCCAGAUGGGAUUAGCUAGUAGGUGGGGUAACGGCUCACCUAGGCGACGAUCCCUAGCUGGUCUGAGAGGAUGACCAGCCACACUGGAACUGAGACACGGUCCAGACUCCUACGGGAGGCAGCAGUGGGGAAUAUUGCACAAUGGGCGCAAGCCUGAUGCAGCCAUGCCGCGUGUAUGAAGAAGGCCUUCGGGUUGUAAAGUACUUUCAGCGAGGAGGAAGGUGCUGUGGUUAAUAACCGCAGCAAUUGACGUUACUCGCAGAAGAAGCACCGGCUAACUCCGUGCCAGCAGCCGCGGUAAUACGGAGGGUGCAAGCGUUAAUCGGAAUUACUGGGCGUAAAGCGCACGCAGGCGGUCUGUCAAGUCGGAUGUGAAAUCCCCGGGCUCAACCUGGGAACUGCAUCCGAAACUGGCAGGCUAGAG